GAUGAACGCUGGCGGCGUGCUUAACACAUGCAAGUCGAACGAAGCACUUUAUUUGAUUUCCUUCGGGACUGAUUAUUUUGUGACUGAGUGGCGGACGGGUGAGUAACGCGUGGGUAACCUGCCUUGUACAGGGGGAUAACAGUUGGAAACGGCUGCUAAUACCGCAUAAGCGCACAGCAUCGCAUGAUGCAGUGUGAAAAACUCCGGUGGUAUAAGAUGGACCCGCGUUGGAUUAGCUAGGUGGUGAGGUAACGGCCCACCAAGGCGACGAUCCAUAGCCGACCUGAGAGGGUGACCGGCCACAUUGGGACUGAGACACGGCCCAAACUCCUACGGGAGGGAGCAGUGGGGAAUAUUGCACAAUGGGCGAAAGCCUGAUGCAGCGACGCCGCGUGAGCGAAGAAGUAUUUCGGUAUGUAAAGCUCUAUCAGCAGGGAAGAUAAUGACGGUACCUUACUAAGAAGCACCGGCUAAAUACGUG
RNAcentral lists this ribosomal RNA (481 nucleotides) under uncultured bacterium. RNAcentral's name for it is "partial 16S ribosomal RNA". It matches the Rfam family "Bacterial small subunit ribosomal RNA", at positions 28 to 507 of the family's 1533-position model. The record is from RNAcentral.